UACGGGGGGAGCAAGCGUUGUUCGGAUUUACUGGGCGUAAAGGGCGCGUAGGCGGUCAGCACAAGUCAGUUGUGAAAUCUCCGGGCUUAACUCGGAAAGGUCAACUGAUACUGUGCGACUAGAGUGCGGAAGGGGCAACUGGAAUUCUCGGUGUAGCGGUGAAAUGCGUAGAUAUCGAGAGGAACACCUGCGGCGAAGGCGGGUUGCUGGGCCGACACUGACGCUGAUGCGCGAAAACCAGGGGAGCGAACGGG
Molecule: ribosomal RNA, 254 nt
Filed under: uncultured bacterium
Lineage: Bacteria
Description: partial 16S ribosomal RNA
Rfam family: Bacterial small subunit ribosomal RNA
Source: RNAcentral